GACGAACGCUGGCGGCGUGCUUAACACAUGCAAGUCGAACGGAAAGGCCCCUUCGGGGGUACUCGAGUGGCGAACGGGUGAGUAACACGUGAGUAACCUGCCCUUGACUUCGGGAUAACUUCAGGAAACUGGGGCUAAUACCGGAUAGGAAUCCUUGCUGCAUGGUGGGGGUUGGAAAGCUUCGGCGGUUUUGGAUGGACUCGCGGCUUAUCAGCUUGUUGGUGGGGUAGUGGCUUACCAAGGCUUUGACGGGUAGCCGGCCUGAGAGGGCGACCGGCCACAUUGGGACUGAGAUACGGCCCAGACUCCUACGGGAGGCAGCAGUGGGGAAUAUUGCACAAUGGGCGGGAGCCUGAUGCAGCAACGCCGCGGGCGGGAUGACGGCCUUCGGGUUGGAAACCGCUUUCAGCAGGGGCGAAGCUUGUGGUGACGGUACCUGCAGAAGAAGCACCGGCUAACUACGUG
RNAcentral lists this ribosomal RNA (465 nucleotides) under uncultured bacterium. RNAcentral's name for it is "partial 16S ribosomal RNA". It matches the Rfam family "Bacterial small subunit ribosomal RNA", at positions 28 to 507 of the family's 1533-position model. The record is from RNAcentral.